AUUGGCCUACUUACGUUCAGUGAUACUGGAACAAUAUAAUAUAACAAGUUUUAAUCCUAAGACUUUUGCCUUUAGUGCUAUCUCAAGUUAAAAUGUUAAAAGUCUCACUCUGGUCCUUUUUUUUUUUUUUUUUACUAUUAAAAGUGUUCUCAGUGGUCUUUAGAUUACGAUUAUGAAGUUUUUAGCCAAAAUCAUGUUACAUCUGUCAUUUUCGAGGGCUUUUCAUCAGAGCCCCAGAAGAUCAUUAGCAAUUUGCCUCUGAGUCAUAAGCGGAAACAGCACUGCUCUGCACCCUCCUCUUCACGCCAUCUUGUAGCUAACGUCUUUAGCGACAUGAUGAAAGUUCAUAUCAUAAUUGGCUUUCUUACGAGCAUUGCAAUCUGCUAAUACACACGCUUGUUCCGCGAUUGUCUGACCUGCGUAGCGGGGCACCGAGGGUGGAGCUUAGAUUUAUGAUGUAUGAAAUCUCACUCUAUCUGAUCCUACUUUUUGAGUCUCCCAGAGAUCCACAGCCAUUUCAAUGCAGAAACACUCAGAAAUGCAAUUUCGCACUUACUUUUCUCAUGAUAUGUCCUGUAGCAUCAGAAAAAUGCCACAUGAACAUGUAGACAACAAGAAAAACAUGAUUUUCACUGGAGUGGGUGUUUAACCUGCAGCAGCCUCAGCUUUUACUAUUUCUCCAUGCACACUAACACUGUUGGUCUAAUGUGCAACAUCUGCAGUCAUUUAUGACUAAAAAUAAUGCCCCAUGUGCACGAGGCACAUGCAAGUGUUAGGCUGCUUUGCUAAUCAGCAGUUUUUGUUGGAAAACUCAGUGUUGUUGGAAAAAAUAAAGUAAGGCUGACAUCUCUCCAGUGCAAGCAAAAAGAAAGUCUGAAGAAGCAGGUUUGAACAUCAGGUACGAUCCGUGCAUCCAUAACAAAAUCAAGAGUUCUGCACGGGGGAGUCACCUUAAUCAAAUCACAAUAUUUCCACUGGCGGGUUGAGAAUGAGAGCUAAACUUUCCAAUUUGGGUAAGCAAUACAAAGUUGACUCAGUUUUGAAUGAUGGAAAGAAUUGUGAUGCUACAAAAACAGAAUAAGAGCAGCUAAAGCUAGAAAAAACAAACCUGGCAGAUUUGUAAUGAAAGGAGGGCUUGUGAAGAGACACAGCCAGAGUCAUCUUUGAAAGCACUCUCACUACCCACAAUCCAUUUUGUUUGUCACUCAGCCAAACAACAACACAUCAGGCCAUAGUCGUACCAAUGAUCUUCAUUCAGGGCCUUUUCCUUUUAGUUCUUGACAAAGUUCUGUGAUGUUUGCCUUCUCUCAAAGAGGUGACGUUCAAAGUUACCCAGAGGCUUCACACCUUUGAGUUUUUAUUGAUUUAUUUAUUCACGGCCUGAACGCCUCACUCACUGCUGAGAAAUAUGUAGAGAAAAUGGGAUCCUUGUCUGCGCAGUCAGGAGCUGUCUGCUUCAAUUAGAAACUUUCAAACCAUAUCCGGGACUUUUUCCACUGUUUGCUCUUCAUCAGCUCACAUUUUCCAUCUGCAUGAAAGCUUAGAUUCCAGCUUUUGGAGGCAGAGAGAUUUUCUUUUGGUCUUUCUUAAAGGUAGAUAAAAACAAACUUAGACAAUGUGUCAGUAAAUAUGGUGAUCUGUUCUCACUUUUGUGUGUCCCAUAGCGCCCUAAAUGUAACAACAAAUUAUACUCAAAAUACUAGGAAUGCCUGCUGCUUGACUGGAAGCUGCUUUAUUUUUUUCUUUGACUUGAAAAACUUUCUUGGCUGAAAUUAGCAUGUCUAAUGAAAACGCACAGCUGUGUGUACCUCUUACUUGAAAGUAUUUCCUGCCUCUUAGCCCCUUUAAACCCAAUCUUUCUGCUUAUUCGAAGAUGCUUUGCAACUAAACUAAGCAAUAAAAAAAUGUGAAUCAUUGAAAAACUGUUUGGACAUCCUUGUGUCAUUCCCACAACUGUUCCAGUAAAAGUUUGCACUUUUGGGAAACCAGGAAUAGCAGACGAGUGAAUGUUAGUUUGGCGCUGAUGUUACAUCAUGAUGUCAAACUAAACUGUGGUUUUCUGCUUGUGUGUUGGUUUGGUUUGGGUAAAGCAUGGUAUCAAGUGAACAAUGGGUUCGUUGGUCAUCAUUCAAUAAAAUCUUUUGGCGUGUUUAAAUAUCACUCAUAGGAAAAUCACAGACUUUCUUUCUGCCUUGCAAGACUCAAGUAGUUGUCCAUUCAAAGUUAAAUUCUGUUUUAAUUUCAUGAUAUCUGUUUGAGACAUGCAUGUCAAAUGAAAUUAUGAUUGUUUUGUCUUCAGUAUAUGUGACAGGAUGUUUACUGGUUUCUAAAUUCAAGACUUGCUUGCAGUAAAAGUGAGAAAUGAGAACUUACAGAGAGAGUGAUCAGCCAGGUGUUUGAUUUCAGAUUUACGAUGUAGUGCUGGCUCAAGUCCUAGACACAAACUCAAGAACAACCUGACUCCUGAGUGAUUAAUUUUGACUGGUAAUUGAUUUAUCUGACUGUAUUUGAAACCAAACAGGUAAAGAUAAUCCAAAUGUAAAUAUGUUUAACCAUAUUUUCGCAGAAUAACAUUACUCUAAGUCAUGAUGUGUAAUAACUUGACAAAGAUGGCUUAAAAAAAAAAAAACUCUUUCCAGGAACAAACAGGCAACAUCAAUGAGACCACAACCAUUUAAUGUACAACAUAAUGAACAGUCAAACAUGUACCCAGCAGAACAACAUUGACAUGAGUCUUCAUACUAUACAGACAGCUAGUAAAAGCAGCAUGAAGCAGGUCGGUGCAAAGUAUGACAAAUGGAAGCUUAAUUUUGUAGUUUGUGACUCAGGUUUGACAAAAAGUGAAGUGGGUUUAGUCUAGCUGUCCUGCUGUCACAACUUAUUUUUGUUAAUGUUGUGUGUCCUGUUUGACCCUGACAGAAAAUGACGAAAACUGUACUCAAAUGUCUGGGAACAUGGCAACAACGCAAAAGAAGUGAGACUGAGAACUUUCCUGUGGGUAAUUACAUGCAAACCAGUUCCUGUUUCAUGCGAUGGCUUUAGGCAUUUUGGGUUUCUCUUUGUUGGAAAAAUGAAAAGGCUCACCCACACAUUACACCAUAAACUCUGGGGGUUCAAUACCCACACUCCCAGAGUUACUGCCAGAAUCAGGAUUGUGCUUUUUCUUUAAACCCGUGCUGCUGUCCUCCUCCUCCUCCAAAUAAGCUGAACCAGCAUUGAGCAGAGGGCGAAAGAGCACAUUCUUCCAAGCCAAUACCAUUUAAUGGUUGCACACAGAAGCAAGAGAGGCAACUAGAAUUUUUUCCUAAUUACUUUAAACCUCUUUUUGAGGAAUGACGCAUCAGGGGGAUUGAGGUCGCUCUUUGGGAAGAUCCGGUGCUCCUUUAUGCUUUAAGGGGAGGAAGAGGAAGGAAAGACCUCCUCCAGACUAGAUAGUAAUCAUUUUUAUACUCAAGGCUCAGCCUUUUUCUUGUAUGCUUUGGUUCCCUCUAUAAAAUUAACACCACCUGUCUAAAAGGCCCUGUCAUAUAAUUACAUUCUUGUAAAACUACUGAGGUUAUCUGAGUUCAACACCAGUGAAUUCAAGAUUGAUAGUGUCUUAGUACCAUGUACUGUGGUUAUAUUAAGUUACCCGCAAAACUUUACUAUACCUUUAGUUGUUUAAGGUUGGAGCUAGGGUUAGGGUUAGGUGUGGGGUUGGAGCUAGGGUUAGGGUUAGGGUUAGGGUUAGGGUUAAGGUUGGAGCUAGGGUUAGGGUUAGGGUUAGGGUUGGAGCUAGGGUUAGGGUUAGGGUUAGGGUUGGCGUUAGGGUUAGUGUUGAAGCUAGGGUUAGGGUUGGGCUUGGAGAUAGGAUUUUUCUGAGUGCAAUGAACCAACUCCCGAGUCUCUAGGACAUUCCUAAAAAAAAUUGAUUUUUUCCCAUGGGAAUGCAUGGGUUAGGAUUUGGGUUAGGGUUGGAGCUAGGGUUAGGGUUAGGGUUGGAGUUAGGGUUAGUGUUGGAGCUAGGGUUAGGGUUGGGCUUGGUGCUAGGAUUUUUCUGAGUGCAAUGAACCAACUCCCGAGUCUCUAGGACGUUCCUAAAAAAAAUUGAUUUUUUCCCAUGGGAAUGCAUGGGUUAGGAUUUGGGUUAGGGUUGGAGCUAGGGUUAGGGUUAGGGUUAGGGUUGGAGUUAGGGUUAGUGUUGGAGCUAGGGUUGGGCUUGGAGCUAGGAUUUUUCUGAGUGCAAUGAACCAACUCCCGAGUCUCUAGGACGUUCCUAAAAAAAAUUGAUUUUUUCCCAUAGGAAUGCAUGGGUUAGGGUUGGGGUUAGGGUUGGAGCUAGGGUUAGGGUUAGGGUUAGGGUUGGAGUUAGGGUUAGUGUUGGAGCUAGGGUUAGGGUUGGGCUUGGAGCUAGGAUUUUUCUGAAUGCAAUGAACCAACUCCCGAGUCUCUAGGACGUUCCUUAAAAAAAUUUGAUUUUUUCCCGUGGAAUGCAUGGGUUAGGGUUAGGGUUAGGGUUGGAGCUAGGGUUAGGGUUAGGGUUAGGGUUGGAGUUAGGGUUAGUGUUGGAGCUAGGGUUAGGGUUGGGCUUGGAGCUAGGAUUUUUCUGAGUGCAAUGAACCAACUCCCGAGUCUCUAGGACGUUCCUAAAAAAAUUUGAUUUUUUCCCAUAGGAAUGCAUGGGUUAGGGUUAGGGUUAGGGUUGGAGCUAGGGUUAGGGUUAGGGUUAGGGUUGGAGCUAGGGUUAGUGUUGGAGCUAGGGUUAGGGUUGGGCUUGGAGCUAGGAUUUUUCUGAGUGCAAUGAACCAACUCCCGAGUCUUAUAGGACGUUCCUAAAAAAAUUAGAUUUUUUUCCCAUAGGAAUGCAUGGGUUAGGGUUGGAGCUAGGGUUAGGUUUAGGGUUAGGGUUGGAGUUAGGGUUAGUGUUGGAGCUAGGGUUAGGGUUGGGCUUGGAGCUAGGAUUUUUCUGAGUGCAAUGAACCAACUCCCGAGUCUCUAGGACGUUCCUUAAAAAAAUUUGAUUUUUUCCCGUGGAAUGCAUGGGUUAGGGUUAGGGUUAGGGUUGGAGCUAGGGUUAGGGUUAGGGUUAGGGUUGGAGUUAGGGUUAGUGUUGGAGCUAGGGUUAGGGUUGGGCUUGGAGCUAGGAUUUUUCUGAGUGCAAUGAACCAACUCCCGAGUCUCUAGGACGUUCCUAAAAAAAUUUGAUUUUUUCCCAUAGGAAUGCAUGGGUUAGGGUUAGGGUUAGGGUUGGAGCUAGGGUUAGGGUUAGGGUUAGGGUUGGAGCUAGGGUUAGUGUUGGAGCUAGGGUUAGGGUUGGGCUUGGAGCUAGGAUUUUUCUGAGUGCAAUGAACCAACUCCCGAGUCUUAUAGGACGUUCCUAAAAAAAUUAGAUUUUUUUCCCAUAGGAAUGCAUGGGUUAGGGUUGGAGCUAGGGUUAGGUUUAGGGUUAGGGUUGGAGUUAGGGUUAGUGUUGGAGCUAGGGUUAGGGUUGGGCUUGGAGCUAGGAUUUUUCUGAGUGCAAUGAACCAACUCCCGAGUCUCUAGGACGUUCCUUAAAAAAAUUUGAUUUUUUCCCGUGGAAUGCAUGGGUUAGGGUUAGGGUUAGGGUUGGAGCUAGGGUUAGGGUUAGGGUUAGGGUUGGAGUUAGGGUUAGUGUUGGAGCUAGGGUUAGGGUUGGGCUUGGAGCUAGGAUUUUUCUGAGUGCAAUGAACCAACUCCCGAGUCUCUAGGACGUUCCUAAAAAAAUUGAUUUUUUCCCAUAGGAAUGCAUGGGUUAGGGUUAGGGUUAGGGUUGGAGCUAGGGUUAGGGUUAGGGUUAGGGUUGGAGCUAGGGUUAGUGUUGGAGCUAGGGUUAGGGUUGGGCUUGGAGCUAGGAUUUUUCUGAGUGCAAUGAACCAACUCCCGAGUCUUAUAGGACGUUCCUAAAAAAAUUUGAUUUUUUCCCAUAGGAAUGCAUGGGUUAGGGUUGGAGCUAGGGUUAGGGUUAGGGUUAGGGUUGGAGUUAGGGUUAGUGUUGGAGCUAGGGUUAGGGUUGGGCUUGGAGCUAGGAUUUUUCUGAGUGCAAUGAACCAACUCCCGAGUCUCUAGGACGUUCCUUAAAAAAAUUUGUUUUUUUUCCGUGGAAUGCAUGGGUUAGGGUUAGGGUUAGGGUUGGAGCUAGGGUUAGGGUUAGGGUUAGGGUUGGAGUUAGGGUUAGUGUUGGAGCUAGGGUUAGGGUUGGGCUUGGAGCUAGGAUUUUUCUGAGUGCAAUGAACCAACUCCCGAGUUUCUAGGACGUUCCUAAAACAAUUUGAUUUUGUCCCAUGGGAAUGCAUGGGUUAGGGUUAGGGUUAGGGUUGGAGCUAGGGUUUGGGUUAGGGUUAGGGUUGGAGCUAGGGUUAGGGUUAGGGUUAAGGUUGGAGCUAGGGUUAGGGUUAGGGUUAGGAUUAGGGUGGAGCUAGGGUUAGGGUUAGGGUUAGAGCUAGGGUUGGGGCUAGGGUUAGGGUUAGGGUUAAGGUGGGAGCUAGGGUUAGGGUUAGGGUUAGGGUUGGAGCUAGGGUUAGGGUUAGGGUUAGGGUUGGAGCUAGGGUUAGGGUUAGGGUUAGGGUUGGAGUUAGGGUUAGUGUUGGAGCUAGGUUUAGGGUUGGGCUUGGAGCUAGGAUUUUUCUGAGUGCAAUGAACCAACUCCCGAGUCUCUAGGACGUUCCCAAAAAAAUUUGAUUUUUUUCCCAUAGGAAUGCAUGGGUUAGGGUUAGGGUUAGGGUUGGAGCUAGGGUUAGGGUUAGGGUUAGGGUUGGAGUUAGGGUUAGUGUUGGAGCUAGGGUUAGGGUUGGGCUUGGAGCUAGGAUUUUUCUGAGUGCAAUGAACCAACUCCCGAGUCUCUAGGACGUUCCUAAAAAAAUUUGAUUUUUUCCCAUGGGAAUGCAUGGGUUAGGGUUAGGGUUAGGGUUGGAGCUAGGGUUUGGGUUAGGGUUAGGGUUGGAGCUAGGGUUAGGGUUAGGGUUAAGGUUGGAGCUAGGGUUAAGGUUAGGGUUAGGAUUAAGGUGGAGCUAGGGUUAGGGUUAGGGUUAGGGUUAGAGCUAAGGUUAGGGUUGGGGCUAGGGUUAGGGUUAGGGUUAGGGUUAAGGUUGGAGCUAGGGUUAGGGUUAGGGUUAGGGUUGGAGCUAGGGUUAGGGUUAGGGUUGGAGCUAGGGUUAGGGUUAUGGUUAGGGUUGGAGUUAGGGUUAGUGUUGGAGCUAGGGUUAGGGUUGGGCUUGGAGCUAGGAUUUUUCUGAGUGCAAUGAACCAACUCCCGAGUCUCUAGGACGUUCCUAAAAAAAUUUGAUUUUUUCCCAUGGGAAUGCAUGGGUUAGGAUUUGGGUUAGGGUUGGAGCUAGGGUUAGGGUUAGGGUUAGGGUUGGAGUUAGGGUUAGUGUUGGAGCUAGGGUUAGGUUUGGGCUUGGAGCUAGGAUUUUUCUGAGUGCAAUGAACCAACUCCCGAGUCUCUAGGACGUUCCUAAAAAAAUUAGAUUUUUUUCCCAUAGGAAUGCAUGGGUUAGGGUUAGGGUUAGGGUUGGAGCUAGGGUUAGGGUUAGGGUUAGGGUUGGAGCUAGGGUUAGUGUUGGAGCUAGGGUUAGGGUUGGGCUUGGAGCUAGGAUUUUUCUGAGUGCAAUGAACCAACUCCCGAGUCUUAUAGGACGUUCCUAAAAAAAUUAGAUUUUUUUCCCAUAGGAAUGCAUGGGUUAGGGUUGGAGCUAGGGUUAGGUUUAGGGUUAGGGUUGGAGUUAGGGUUAGUGUUGGAGCUAGGGUUAGGGUUGGGCUUGGAGCUAGGAUUUUUCUGAGUGCAAUGAACCAACUCCCGAGUCUCUAGGACGUUCCUUAAAAAUUUGAUUUUUUCCCGUGGAAUGCAUGGGUUAGGGUUAGGGUUAGGGUUGGAGCUAGGGUUAGGGUUAGGGUUAGGUUGGAGUUAGGGUUAGUGUUGGAGCUAGGGUUAGGUUGGGCUUGGCUAAUUCUGAGUAACCAAUGGCUUAGGGUCUAGGUUAUUGGAUGGGUUAGGUUAGGGUUAGGUUGGAGCUGGGUUAGGUUAGGGUUAGGUGGUGGGUGGUGUCAUAGGGUUGCAGGGUUAGGGUUAGGGUUAGGGUUGGAGCUAGGGUUAGGUUUAGGGUUAGGGUUGGAGUUAGGGUUAGUGUUGGAGCUAGGGUUAGGGUUGGGCUUGGAGCUAGGAUUUUUCUGAGUGCAAUGAACCAACUCCCGAGUCUCUAGGACGUUCCUUAAAAAAUUUGAUUUUUUCCCGGGGAAUGCAUGGGUUAGGGUUAGGGUUAGGGUUGGAGCUAGGGUUAGGGUUAGGGUUAGGGUUGGAGUUAGGGUUAGUGUUGGAGCUAGGGUUAGGGUUGGGCUUGGAGCUAGGAUUUUUCUGAGUGCAAUGAACCAACUCCCGAGUCUCUAGGACGUUCCUAAAAAAAAUUGAUUUUUUCCCAUAGGAAUGCAUGGGUUAGGGUUAGGGUUAGGGUUGGAGCUAGGGUUAGGGUUAGGGUUAGGGUUGGAGCUAGGGUUAGUGUUGGAGCUAGGGUUAGGGUUGGGCUUGGAGCUAGGAUUUUUCUGAGUGCAAUGAACCAACUCCCGAGUCUUAUAGGACGUUCCUAAAAUAAUUUGAUUUUUUCCCAUAGGAAUGCAUGGGUUAGGGUUGGAGCUAGGGUUAGGGUUAGGGUUAGGGUUGGAGUUAGGGUUAGUGUUGGAGCUAGGGUUAGGGUUGGGCUUGGAGCUAGGAUUUUUCUGAGUGCAAUGAACCAACUCCCGAGUCUCUAGGACGUUCCUUAAAAAAAUUUGUUUUUUUCCCGUGGAAUGCAUGGGUUAGGGUUAGGGUUAGGGUUGGAGCUAGGGUUAGGGUUAGGGUUAGGGUUGGAGUUAGGGUUAGUGUUGGAGCUAGGGUUAGGGUUGGGCUUGGAGCUAGGAUUUUUCUGAGUGCAAUGAACCAACUCCCGAGUUUCUAGGACGUUCCUAAAACAAUUUGAUUUUGUCCCAUGGGAAUGCAUGGGUUAGGGUUAGGGUUAGGGUUGGAGCUAGGGUUUGGGUUAGGGUUAGGGUUGGAGCUAGGGUUAGGGUUAGGGUUAAGGUUGGAGCUAGGGUUAGGGUUAGGGUUAGGAUUAGGGUGGAGCUAGGGUUAGGGUUAGGGUUAGAGCUAGGGUUGGGGCUAGGGUUAGGGUUAGGGUUAAGGUGGGAGCUAGGGUUAGGGUUAGGGUUAGGGUUGGAGCUAGGGUUAGGGUUAGGGUUAGGGUUGGAGCUAGGGUUAGGGUUAGGGUUAGGGUUGGAGUUAGGGUUAGUGUUGGAGCUAGGUUUAGGGUUGGGCUUGGAGCUAGGAUUUUUCUGAGUGCAAUGAACCAACUCCCGAGUCUCUAGGACGUUCCCAAAAAAAUUUGAUUUUUUUCCCAUAGGAAUGCAUGGGUUAGGGUUAGGGUUAGGGUUGGAGCUAGGGUUAGGGUUAGGGUUAGGGUUGGAGUUAGGGUUAGUGUUGGAGCUAGGGUUAGGGUUGGGCUUGGAGCUAGGAUUUUUCUGAGUGCAAUGAACCAACUCCCGA
RNAcentral lists this long non-coding RNA (9511 nucleotides) under Xyrichtys novacula (pearly razorfish). Lineage: Eukaryota; Metazoa; Chordata; Actinopteri; Labriformes; Labridae. The record is from RNAcentral.